AUUUAAAUAGUUUAAGUAAAAUAUUGAUUUGUGGAGUCAAAGUUAUAAUAGAAAAUUUUAAAUA
RNAcentral lists this transfer RNA (64 nucleotides) under Anisocentropus kawamurai. RNAcentral's name for it is "tRNA-His". The record is from RNAcentral. Lineage: Eukaryota; Metazoa; Arthropoda; Insecta; Trichoptera; Calamoceratidae.